Molecule: unclassified non-coding RNA, 242 nt
Filed under: Hevea brasiliensis (rubber tree)
Lineage: Eukaryota; Viridiplantae; Streptophyta; Magnoliopsida; Malpighiales; Euphorbiaceae
Source: RNAcentral
GCGCGCGAGAGAGAGAGAGAGAGAAUGAGGGAAUAGAGAAGUUAUAGGAGACUAUAGUUUUCUUUCUUGUUUGGAAGAGGGAAUUGUGAAAGGCAAGAAUUACAAUUAUAUCCUAUAAUCCCUAGAAGACUAAAAACAUUUGUUCAUUUGAACAUACACAAAAUUUCUAAGCCUGCAACUAAGGGGGCAUGAAAACAAUAUGCCUCUACCUGUACGAUAUCAAUUGGGUGAAAAAGAAACAC